RNAcentral lists this transfer RNA (73 nucleotides) under Octopus vulgaris (common octopus). It matches the Rfam family "tRNA". From Rfam's summary of the family: Transfer RNA (tRNA) molecules are approximately 80 nucleotides in length. RNAcentral also lists the same sequence under 1 other name. The record is from Rfam by way of RNAcentral. Lineage: Eukaryota; Metazoa; Mollusca; Cephalopoda; Octopoda; Octopodidae.
GCCCGGCUAGCUCAGUCGGUAGAGCAUGAGACUCUUAAUCUCGGGGUUGUGGGUUUGAGCCCCACUUUGGGCG